GCCUCUAUAGCACAGUGGUAGUGCGUGUCACUCGUAAGCAGAUCAGCUCUCCCUUCCAAGGGUUGCCGGGAUGUGAUGACAAGGUCGGGUGUUCGAUCCACCCUGGAGGCA
Molecule: transfer RNA, 111 nt
Filed under: Rhodotorula toruloides
Lineage: Eukaryota; Fungi; Basidiomycota; Microbotryomycetes; Sporidiobolales; Sporidiobolaceae
Also listed under: 1 other name
Description: Rhodosporidium toruloides tRNA
Rfam family: tRNA
About the family: Transfer RNA (tRNA) molecules are approximately 80 nucleotides in length. Their secondary structure includes four short double-helical elements and three loops (D, anti-codon, and T loops).
Source: Rfam by way of RNAcentral